This 157-nucleotide non-coding RNA is filed under the name Thalassobacillus devorans. RNAcentral's name for it is "glmS glucosamine-6-phosphate activated ribozyme". It matches the Rfam family "glmS glucosamine-6-phosphate activated ribozyme aptamer". Rfam says of the family: This entry contains a glucosamine-6-phosphate activated ribozyme that is found in the mRNA for GlmS. Lineage: Bacteria; Bacillati; Bacillota; Bacilli; Caryophanales; Bacillaceae. The record is from RNAcentral.
UAUCUAAAGCGCCAGGACUAUUUUCGUUCGGCAUGAAAAUAGUUGACGAGGAGGAGGUUCAUCGAGCUUUCGGCGGAUGCCUCCCGGUUGUGACACUUCAACCGUCUGUUCAGCUUUUAAAACAAAGAGGCGACUCUUUCGGACAACAAAGCUGGAU